This 2384-nucleotide ribosomal RNA is filed under the name Staphylococcus aureus. RNAcentral's name for it is "partial 23S ribosomal RNA". It matches the Rfam family "Bacterial large subunit ribosomal RNA", at positions 339 to 2727 of the family's 2925-position model. Lineage: Bacteria; Bacillati; Bacillota; Bacilli; Caryophanales; Staphylococcaceae. The record is from RNAcentral.
CAUCUGGAAAGAUGAAUCAAAGAAGGUAAUAAUCCUGUAGUCGAAAAUGUUGUCUCUCUUGAGUGGAUCCUGAGUACGACGGAGCACGUGAAAUUCCGUCGGAAUCUGGGAGGACCAUCUCCUAAGGCUAAAUACUCUCUAGUGACCGAUAGUGAACCAGUACCGUGAGGGAAAGGUGAAAAGCACCCCGGAAGGGGAGUGAAAUAGAACCUGAAACCGUGUGCUUACAAGUAGUCAGAGCCCGUUAAUGGGUGAUGGCGUGCCUUUUGUAGAAUGAACCGGCGAGUUACGAUUUGAUGCAAGGUUAAGCAGUAAAUGUGGAGCCGUAGCGAAAGCGAGUCUGAAUAGGGCGUUUAGUAUUUGGUCGUAGACCCGAAACCAGGUGAUCUACCCUUGGUCAGGUUGAAGUUCAGGUAACACUGAAUGGAGGACCGAACCGACUUACGUUGAAAAGUGAGCGGAUGAACUGAGGGUAGCGGAGAAAUUCCAAUCGAACCUGGAGAUAGCUGGUUCUCUCCGAAAUAGCUUUAGGGCUAGCCUCAAGUGAUGAUUAUUGGAGGUAGAGCACUGUUUGGACGAGGGGCCCCUCUCGGGUUACCGAAUUCAGACAAACUCCGAAUGCCAAUUAAUUUAACUUGGGAGUCAGAACAUGGGUGAUAAGGUCCGUGUUCGAAAGGGAAACAGCCCAGACCACCAGCUAAGGUCCCAAAAUAUAUGUUAAGUGGAAAAGGAUGUGGCGUUGCCCAGACAACUAGGAUGUUGGCUUAGAAGCAGCCAUCAUUUAAAGAGUGCGUAAUAGCUCACUAGUCGAGUGACACUGCGCCGAAAAUGUACCGGGGCUAAACAUAUUACCGAAGCUGUGGAUUGUCCUUUGGACAAUGGUAGGAGAGCGUUCUAAGGGCGUUGAAGCAUGAUCGUAAGGACAUGUGGAGCGCUUAGAAGUGAGAAUGCCGGUGUGAGUAGCGAAAGACGGGUGAGAAUCCCGUCCACCGAUUGACUAAGGUUUCCAGAGGAAGGCUCGUCCGCUCUGGGUUAGUCGGGUCCUAAGCUGAGGCCGACAGGCGUAGGCGAUGGAUAACAGGUUGAUAUUCCUGUACCACCUAUAAUCGUUUUAAUCGAUGGGGGGACGCAGUAGGAUAGGCGAAGCGUGCGAUUGGAUUGCACGUCUAAGCAGUAAGGCUGAGUAUUAGGCAAAUCCGGUACUCGUUAAGGCUGAGCUGUGAUGGGGAGAAGACAUUGUGUCUUCGAGUCGUUGAUUUCACACUGCCGAGAAAAGCCUCUAGAUAGAAAAUAGGUGCCCGUACCGCAAACCGACACAGGUAGUCAAGAUGAGAAUUCUAAGGUGAGCGAGCGAACUCUCGUUAAGGAACUCGGCAAAAUGACCCCGUAACUUCGGGAGAAGGGGUGCUCUUUAGGGUUAACGCCCAGAAGAGCCGCAGUGAAUAGGCCCAAGCGACUGUUUAUCAAAAACACAGGUCUCUGCUAAACCGUAAGGUGAUGUAUAGGGGCUGACGCCUGCCCGGUGCUGGAAGGUUAAGAGGAGUGGUUAGCUUCUGCGAAGCUACGAAUCGAAGCCCCAGUAAACGGCGGCCGUAACUAUAACGGUCCUAAGGUAGCGAAAUUCCUUGUCGGGUAAGUUCCGACCCGCACGAAAGGCGUAACGAUUUGGGCACUGUCUCAACGAGAGACUCGGUGAAAUCAUAGUACCUGUGAAGAUGCAGGUUACCCGCGACAGGACGGAAAGACCCCGUGGAGCUUUACUGUAGCCUGAUAUUGAAAUUCGGCACAGCUUGUACAGGAUAGGUAGGAGCCUUUGAAACGUGAGCGCUAGCUUACGUGGAGGCGCUGGUGGGAUACUACCCUAGCUGUGUUGGCUUUCUAACCCGCACCACUUAUCGUGGUGGGAGACAGUGUCAGGCGGGCAGUUUGACUGGGGCGGUCGCCUCCUAAAAGGUAACGGAGGCGCUCAAAGGUUCCCUCAGAAUGGUUGGAAAUCAUUCAUAGAGUGUAAAGGCAUAAGGGAGCUUGACUGCGAGACCUACAAGUCGAGCAGGGUCGAAAGACGGACUUAGUGAUCCGGUGGUUCCGCAUGGAAGGGCCAUCGCUCAACGGAUAAAAGCUACCCCGGGGAUAACAGGCUUAUCUCCCCCAAGAGUUCACAUCGACGGGGAGGUUUGGCACCUCGAUGUCGGCUCAUCGCAUCCUGGGGCUGUAGUCGGUCCCAAGGGUUGGGCUGUUCGCCCAUUAAAGCGGUACGCGAGCUGGGUUCAGAACGUCGUGAGACAGUUCGGUCCCUAUCCGUCGUGGGCGUAGGAAAUUUGAGAGGAGCUGUCCUUAGUACGAGAGGACCGGGAUGGACAUACCUCUGGUGUACCAGUUGUCGU